UGGGGAAUUUUGGACAAUGGGCGAAAGCCUGAUCCAGCAAUGCCGCGUGUGUGAAGAAGGCCUUCGGGUUGUAAAGCACUUUUGUCCGGAAAGAAAUCCUUGGCUCUAAUACAGUCGGGGGAUGACGGUACCGGAAGAAUAAGCACCGGCUAACUACGUGCCAGCAGCCGCGGUAAUACGUAGGGUGCAAGCGUUAAUCGGAAUUACUGGGCGUAAAGCGUGCGCAGGCGGUUUGCUAAGACCGAUGUGAAAUCCCCGGGCUCAACCUGGGAACUGCAUUGGUGACUGGCAGGCUAGAGUAUGGCAGAGGGGGGUAGAAUUCCACGUGUAGCAGUGAAAUGCGUAGAGAUGUGGAGGAAUACCGAUGGCGAAGGCAGCCCCCUGGGCCAACACUGACGCUCAUGCACGAAAGCGUGGGGAGCAAACAGGAUUAGAUACCCUGGUAGUCCACGCCCUAAACGAUGUCAACUAGUUGUUGGGGAUUCAUUUCCUUAGUAACGUAGCUAACGCGUGAAGUUGACCGCCUGGGGAGUACGGUCGCAAGAUUAAAACUCAAAGGAAUUGACGGGGUCAUAGCUG
RNAcentral lists this ribosomal RNA (579 nucleotides) under uncultured bacterium. RNAcentral describes it as "partial 16S ribosomal RNA". It matches the Rfam family "Bacterial small subunit ribosomal RNA", at positions 355 to 932 of the family's 1533-position model. The record is from RNAcentral.